CAAUUAGAAUUAUUACGACCCUGGCAGUAGUAACAAUGUUAUUGAACCCAAUGGGCUUGGCUAAAGCUCUGUAGAAGGAACAUGUGGGUGGCUUGGUGGUUUAUUCUUGACGGCUGUUGUCUCUCCACUCUGAAGUCCCAGCUCGAACGCUGCUUGUGUGGAGUUAGUUUGUCAUCCCCCUGUCUCCUGCCCCCAUGUCCCCAAAUAUUAGGCCUGCUCUAGUUGCUGUCUGUGUGGAAGUUGCAUAUUCUCCUUGUGUCUUGUGUGUUUUCCUCCAGAGCCCCAGACUGUGAGAUUAACUUACCAAACAGCCUGGUUGCUUUCUCUGUGGAAUUUUACAUAUUCUGUGGGUGGGCUUUCUUCCCAGUAACUUCGGUUUGAAUCCCAGCCCUGUUGCUCCCAGUCUGCAUGUUCUGUCUCUUCUGCAUGCUCUUUGUCCCACCAAUCCUUCCGAGUCCUCCGUGCAAUCUGUGCGGAGUUGGCACAUCCUUCCCACGUCUCUGUGGCUUCUCCUUCUGUGUCCUAGAAAUCCCUGCUUCAAAUCCUGGUACAUUUGCUGGCCAUCAAGAAUUUGCACAUACUCCAUGUCUCUACUGCACCAGGGUCUUCAGUUCAAAUCCCUAACUGAUUUGCCAGAGUUAGUCCAUUCUCCUCUCGUCUGUGUCGGUUUUCCUCCCAUGUUUCAUAGACUUUGGUUUGAAUCCCAUCCGAGUUGCUAUCUCUCUCUUUCUGCAUGGGUUUUACCGCCAAUGUCCCAGAGUUCCAAGUUUCAAAUCCCAGCCCAGGUGCUAUUAGUGUGCAUUUUCUGCCACGUCUGUGUGAGUUUUCCUCCCAUGUCCCAGAGACUUUGCUGUGGAAUUCCAGCCUAGUUGUUGUCUGUGUGGUGUUUUUGCUUCUUCUUCUGCAUGGGGUUUCCUCCAAGGGGUUUCUUCCAAUCCUUCUGAAUCCUAGGUGCAAAAUGUGGCCCAGAGUUUACAUGGAGUUUACACAUACUUCCUAGAGACUUGGGUGUGAAUCCCAGCCCAGUCACUCCCAGUCUGCGUGUUCUGUCUCUUCAGCUUGCUUUUUGACCCACCAAUGCUUUUGAGUCCUCUGUGCUAUCUGUGUGGAGUUUGCACAUCCUUCUCUGGUCUCUGGGGCUUCUCCUUCUACAUCCCAGGGUCUCUGCUUCAAAUCCUGGUACAUUCACUUGCCAUGAAGAAUUUGCACAUACUCCAUGUCUCUGGAUUGGUUUUCCUCUACUGUUCCAGGGUCUUCGGUUCAAAUCCCUAACUGAUUUGCCAGAGUUAAUCCGUUCUCCAUUCGUCUGUGUGGGUUUUCCUCCCAUGUUUCAGAGACUUUGAUUUCUAUCUCUGUGUGGGGUUUUUGUAUUUUUUGUAUGUUCUCUUUGUCUCUUUCUGCAUGGGUUUUACUUCCCAGUGCCCCAGAGUUCCAGGUUUCAAAUUCCAGCCCAUCCCAGUUGCUGUUAGUGUGCAUUUUCUGCCACGUCUGUGUGGGUUUUCCUCCCGUGUCCCAGAGGCUCAGCUGUUGUCUGUGUGGUGUUUGCAUCUUCUUCUGCAUGAGGUUUGCUCCCAUCCUUCUGAACCCUAGAUGCAAAAUGUGGCUCAGCUGCUAUCAGUGUGGAGUUUGUGCCUUCUUCCCAGGUCUCUCUGGUGGGUUCUCCUUGUAGGUCCCAGAGUCCCUGCUUCAAAUCCUGGCCCAUUUGCUUUCCAUGAAGAAUUGGCAUGUUCUCCAGGUGUCUGCAUGGAGAUGUGGAGUGUGUAGAUUUAUGCAAGUCCAUAUUUGUUUCCUUUUCUGCAGGUACUUCAGUUUUCCUUCUCCAAGACGGGGGUCCCCAACUCUACAAUGGUUGCAGGUUUUCAUUCUAAC
This is a long non-coding RNA of Erpetoichthys calabaricus (reedfish), 1869 nucleotides long. RefSeq lists it as uncharacterized. Lineage: Eukaryota; Metazoa; Chordata; Cladistia; Polypteriformes; Polypteridae. The transcript has 3 exons. The record is from RefSeq and is a predicted model, not a curated record.